This 375-nucleotide ribosomal RNA is filed under the name uncultured bacterium. RNAcentral's name for it is "bacterial SSU rRNA". It matches the Rfam family "Bacterial small subunit ribosomal RNA", at positions 524 to 898 of the family's 1533-position model. The record is from RNAcentral.
UACGUAGGGUGCGAGCGUUAAUCGGAAUUACUGGGCGUAAAGCGUGCGCAGGCGGUUUUAUAAGCCAGAUGUGAAAGCCCCGGGCUCAACCUGGGAAUGGCAUUUGGGACUGUAAGGCUGGAGUAUGGCAGAGGAGACUAGAAUUCCUGGUGUAGCAGUGAAAUGCGUAGAUAUCAGGAGGAAUACCGAUGGCGAAGGCAGGUCUCUGGGCCAAUACUGACGCUCAUGCACGAAAGCGUGGGGAGCAAACAGGAUUAGAUACCCUGGUAGUCCACGCCCUAAACGAUGUCAACUGGUUGUUGGGGGAUUUAUUCUCUUAGUAACGAAGCUAACGCGUGAAGUUGACCGCCUGGGGAGUACGGUCGCAAGAUUAAA